RNAcentral lists this transfer RNA (74 nucleotides) under Streptomyces canarius. Its description in RNAcentral is "tRNA-Arg(tcg)". The record is from RNAcentral. Lineage: Bacteria; Bacillati; Actinomycetota; Actinomycetes; Kitasatosporales; Streptomycetaceae.
UGGCCGGGCUAGGCCGUCCGAGCCGGGCCGGUUCGGCCGGUCCGGUUCGGCCGGUCCGGCUCCGGCUCGGCCGA